UUUUAAAGUAUAAAUUUAUUAUCUGUGAACUAUAACAUCAAGAUAGAGUAUUAUUUAUAUGCAAUGACAAUAUUUAUCUUAGUCAUAAAUAUUAUUGUACACAUCGCAUAGUUAUGAUUCUAAACAAAAACCUAACAACAUACAUGUUUAUUUUAUUAUUUUUUUGUUAAAAUAAUAUUCAGCCCAUAAAUUAGUUAUUUUUUAAUAAAAUUUAUGAUAACAAUAAUUACAGAAGCUUUUGCUGGCUAUAAUUAUUGUGAUGAUUUUUAUAAACUAUCUACAAAAUAUAUAUUCAUUAAUAGAAAUUAAAUUUAAAAUUAUAUCAUAUAGAAAAUAACGUGUUUUAAGAUAAAUGAUAUAUUACCUUAUCAGAUUAUUAAUAUUUGACUAAAUAAUGUAAUAUUUAAACAGUUUGCAAUAAAUCUAUUUAUAUAUUUUUAUUAUAUGGUUACCGAACAUAUUAUGUUGGGUCUGUAAUAUAUGAAUUCUAAAUAACAAAUGCAGCCCAUUAUAUUAACCUUAACAUGUUUAUAUUAUCUAAGAUUAAUAUGUGGACAAAACAUCAACUUUAUCCUCUCUCUACUGUCGGUUUCUCAAAAUUGAAGAAUAAGGCGAUCUACAGACAGCCGACCUUAGUUUGAUGCUCAUCGGUAAAUCACCUAUUGUAACCAAUGACUUUCUUUCUUUCAAUGAGAUAGAACGUGUUGUGAUGACUUCAAAGAGAGUAAAAACGGAUUCAAAGUUUAAGCCGUAAAAAUUCUGAUGGACACCGAAACUUGAAAGAUUUUAUAUACACGCAAGGAAAAUCAUAUAAGGAGAUUCAGAUGCAAUGAGACCGUUUUUAGCGUAUAUCAGGCCAUAUUGGGAACAUGAAGUAUGUGCUUAAGAGCAGCUUGAUGAAGUAACCUCUGUUUGGUUGGGAGUUUCACCUCUUUGAGUUUAUCCCCGUUGAGCGGAGAUGGGAAGUUGAUGACGCGAACUUGAGGCAGAUAGUUUCGAGUUUAAAGGAUCCAAGAGAUGCUUUGUGGCUUGAUAUUUUCCCUGAAGGCAGAGAUUACAUAGAGGCUAAAUGCCAAAGCUGAACAUGGCUUACCAGUUCUGAACAACCUCCAAUUGUCUUCCAAGAACUAAGCUGUUAACUCGAUGAAGUUUAUGAUGUGAUCAAAGUAUGCAUAAGACUCGUUACUGAACGCGUUCCAGCUAAAAGACCAACUUCUUAGUGAGUUAUACCCUCGCGGCCAUUUCCCUAACGAAGGAACAGAAAAGGAGUUCAACACAAUGAAGUGCCUCAUAAACUGCUCGGCAGUGAUUGUCUUCACAGUCGACAUGUUUUUGUGCAGAGCAAUGUAUAUCAGUAACCCAUACUUGUCGCAGCUACAUAUGGAGUUUGUGAAAGCUUUCCAAAUCUGGGAGAAGAUAUAUGUGGCAUUUGAACCGCUUGUGAGCCAUAUCCACCACUCUGAGGUCUGUCACAACUCUGAGGUACAUAUAGAUGAAGAAUGCGAGCUGUGUAAUAAAAAAAAAGACAAUAGGAGAAUACUCAUACUCUUCACGUGAGGGCGCAUCUUUGAAGUCGAGGUGUUAUAUGGAAUAUCAACAAUUUCGUCCACUGAUCGCUUAGAAGGAGUUGCCAUCUUGCUAGAGCUUACAUCACUGUAAGUCAAUAGAGACACCUAGAGUGUAUACAUAUAUUAGGUGUAUAACUUGAAAUAAAUACAAUCAAAAGUAUGACAAUAUGAACAUCAAUACUAUCUACUGCAUACAAAACAGAUCAAUAAAAUCGAGAAAUACCUCUGAUGCUGAGUUUGCUGUUAUUCCCUUUCCAGACAUAGAUUCCGAUUGGGAAUCAACCAUGAGUGUGUUGUAAACUGACCAGGCUAUAAGUACCUUAAAAGUCUCAGAUCCUUUUUCGAUGGUAACCCCAAAAUUAUAAGUCUUCCCCACAAUUUCAUUAAUACAGUCAAGCAACAUCUCAGGAUCUUCAACCUAAAUCAAACUAUAACAAAUCUUUUGGUAAAGGUUGACAAAUUCAAUAACAUAUUAAGUGCAUUUAUGGCAGUAAAAUACCUCAUCCAAAGAACCAUUGAGAAUUUUUUCAGCUUUUACUUCGAUAACUGGCCAUGCAACCCAAUCAAGAAGCACAAAUUUUGCUUUAGCUGUAUCAUCCUUAGCCAUCAGAUGGAGCUUAUAUCUAAUAUUAAAAUCACAAUAACAAAAUAAGAUCAAGAAAUCUUAAUGAUUGUUCGUUAGAUAACUUAAAGAAGACAAAAUUUUACCUUGGUUUAACAUUCAUCACAUUCUCUUUGCAGUUUUCACACCAAACAAAGGCUUGUUUACGCCAGAAAGAUUUAUAUCUUCAACGGGGACUUUAUAAAUCCUGGUUUGACACAAAUCACAUCCAAAAUAAUACCAUGCAUAAUCAGUAUCUAUAGCACAGAUUGUAGCAACAACCUUGCACUUAUCACCCAACGCUUCCACAUUUACUGUUUACUAGGUUAGCUUGCGUUAUUCUGGUCUUGCAUGUUUCGAGUUGAGCUAUAAUGACUCAACCAGGUGUCUGUUUUCUUAUAUAUGCUAUCGAUGUACACGUAUGUGCGAGUGUUUUUCUUAUUGGUCGCUAUUGCGAGCAUAGGUACUUACGUUAUUGUUUGAUUGAACAUAGUAACCCUAUGCUUAAUAAUGAAUAGGACUAGACAUGUAUUGUUUGAAAAUUGCGGAAGACUAAUAAUUGUUGGAGUCUGACUCAGCGGGGCAGAGGUGAGUUCCUACAUGUUGGAGUCUGGCCUAUGGCUUAGCGGGGCAGAGGUGAGUUCAUGCACGUUAGAGUUUUGGUGGGGAUACGGUGGCUGAGUCGAUCCACGUCGUAUCCCAGCGAUCGACAAGCGUCUACGGGCGGUGACUAUAGGCACUUAACCUAUAUAACUAAGCUUAACGGGGCAGAAGUGAGUUCCUGCACAUUGUGACUGGCCGGGGCUUCGAGCGUACAGAGCUGGGCUCUUGUAUUUUGAGUCAUUGCUUGUUUCUUAGAGAUGUCGUGUUUGUGGUUUGUCUAGGCCUAAAUUUACGAUGAUGGGUUAGUAUUCAGUCGAGUUUAGGUUUUGGUUUGGUCUUCACUGAACGGCCUGUUUGAAAAGUUGUUCAUUCCUUUUUUUUUUCUCUUUCCCUUUGAUUUUUGUCAAGCAGAUUCCAGCCUAGAAAAAGUUGGUUUGAGUUAAAGUUGGCGGUUUUUGCUAAAGACGGUUUGCCCGUACCAGAUUUAGCUAAACCCGGAACCCUCUGGAACCGGGUGUCACGAUCACUCUAAAAAAUAGCUAGUGGCUCGGCUCUUCUAGCUUUUAUAAUUCCACGACAUAAGUUAACGUACGACUGUUAAAAAAAAAAGAAAUUAACGUACGACUUCUCACGACGUCUAAGAAACAAAAAGUUGAGAAAGACAUUAACUGGUUCUGUCCAAACCGUCCACCGCUUUCACGUGUGGUUUCCACACUACCUCUCAUAUCUCAUGCUUAAAUGGAGAUAUUGAAAAAACCUUCGCUUUGAGAAAAUCACUGGACCAUGAGCUUAAUUAUCAAAAUAAUUAUCACAAAUGUACAGUCAACUAAAUAAUGAUGCUAAAGAUUGAAUUAAACACCAAGCUGGAGUAAAUAACUCAAAAAUAUGACUAAUUCAUUUAUGUGGCACUAGUAACUUCACAAAUUAAGUAACUCUUGAUCUAGUCCCUUAUAUAUUACAACUUCUUUUCGUAGUUACGUGUUAUCAAUAAGAUCAUUCUUAGAAUCAUUAGAAAUAUAUGUUGUUCCAUCUAAUUAUAUAAUAAGCUUUUUAUUAAAUUCACCAUAAAUUCAUUAUUAAUA
Molecule: long non-coding RNA, 3854 nt
Organism: Brassica napus (rape)
Lineage: Eukaryota; Viridiplantae; Streptophyta; Magnoliopsida; Brassicales; Brassicaceae
Exons: 9
Source: RefSeq, a predicted model, not a curated record